Molecule: ribosomal RNA, 660 nt
Filed under: Bacillus sp. (in: firmicutes)
Lineage: Bacteria; Bacillati; Bacillota; Bacilli; Caryophanales; Bacillaceae
Description: bacterial SSU rRNA
Rfam family: Bacterial small subunit ribosomal RNA
Source: RNAcentral
GCGCUGGCGGCGUGCCUAAUACAUGCAAGUCGAGCGGACAGAUGGGAGCUUGCUCCCUGAAGUCAGCGGCGGACGGGUGAGUAACACGUGGGCAACCUGCCUGUAAGACUGGGAUAACUCCGGGAAACCGGGGCUAAUACCGGAUAAUUCUUUCCCUCACAUGAGGGAAAGCUGAAAGAUGGUUUCGGCUAUCACUUACAGAUGGGCCCGCGGCGCAUUAGCUAGUUGGUGAGGUAACGGCUCACCAAGGCAACGAUGCGUAGCCGACCUGAGAGGGUGAUCGGCCACACUGGGACUGAGACACGGCCCAGACUCCUACGGGAGGCAGCAGUAGGGAAUCUUCCGCAAUGGACGAAAGUCUGACGGAGCAACGCCGCGUGAGUGAUGAAGGUUUUCGGAUCGUAAAACUCUGUUGUUAGGGAAGAACAAGUACCGGAGUAACUGCCGGUACCUUGACGGUACCUAACCAGAAAGCCACGGCUAACUACGUGCCAGCAGCCGCGGUAAUACGUAGGUGGCAAGCGUUGUCCGGAAUUAUUGGGCGUAAAGCGCGCGCAGGCGGUUCCUUAAGUCUGAUGUGAAAGCCCCCGGCUCAACCGGGGAGGGUCAUUGGAAACUGGGGGAACUUGAGUGCAGAAGAGAAGAGUGUAAUUCCACGUG